AUACAGAGGGUGCGAGCGUUAAUCGGAAUUACUGGGCGUAAAGCGCGCGUAGGCGGUCUAUUAAGUCAGAUGUGAAAUCCCAGGGCUCAACCUUGGAACUGCAUCUGAUACUGGUAGACUAGGGUUUUGGAGAGGGAAGUAGAAUUUCAGGUGUAGCGGUGAAAUGCAUAGAGAUCUGAAGGAAUACCAGUGGCGAAGGCGACUUCCUGGCCAAAAACUGACGCUGAGGUGCGAAAGCGUGGGUAGCAAACGGGAUUAGAAACCCCAGUAGUCC
This 274-nucleotide ribosomal RNA is filed under the name uncultured bacterium. RNAcentral describes it as "partial 16S ribosomal RNA". It matches the Rfam family "Bacterial small subunit ribosomal RNA", at positions 523 to 796 of the family's 1533-position model. The record is from RNAcentral.